GCUGCAUCGCGUGAAUUAUGUGCCGCGACGAUGCAAUAACGGUGUCAUAUUGUGGGUCGGAAUCCGGCGCAUGGAAUUCCUGUGACUGCACAGGAACACGAUGUCAGUGAGCUGUAGGGGAUGAUGUUGCAAGGAUGUUGCAAGGAUGCAAGGAUGUUGCAAGGAUGUUGCAAGGAUGCAAGGUGGUGAUGUUGUUGCAGAUGAUGUUGCCAGUGGUGGUUCCGGAUCGCAUCGACAAACGGGCUGGAUGGGAGUAGGGUGAAUAGGGAUAUGCAGGGAAAGGUAGAGAAGAUGAAGACUCUCUCUCGGUUUCUGUUGUUCUGUGCAGGUCCAGGUGCGGUGUGAUGUCCAGUGGGUGUGCCGGGGAUGGAUUCAUCCAACGGUGAAAUGCACGACAUGGGGCUACGGCAGUGAAAAUGGAGGAGCGCCUCCAGCCCCAAUUAAUACAAACUUGGGGUGCGCCUGCCACCCCACAGUGGAGCGUAACAGUUUGGUGGGGCUCCUCGCUAGAAGCCACGCCCUAGUUUAUUGCCUUUUUCUCUGCUUUUUUAUUUCCCCAAACCCCCCCCCCCUUUCCCAUAAACUUCUCCUGGCUUCGUUGAAUACAGUCCAGUUCCCAGGGCACUCACCAUCGAUGUGGAAGUUUGUUAGGCUUAGAUGUAGCGACGAGGAGCUGCUCAGGACUGUGUGUGCGUGAUGAAUUCUUUCUUAUUUUUCCAGGGGGGGGGGGGACCAUGAUGGAGCAUGAACUACUUUAUUUAGAUCCUUCCUAAGGAGGCGGCCGUAUCAUUCUUGGGCUGAGCGCCUCCUCUAUUGCCAACUUUAGCCUGUGAUCUAUCACAUCCAUCUAAUCUACUUUGUAGAAAUCGUUCUUGUCUCCACAGCGGGCCGUUCUCGCCUUCAAGAGUGCCUGCAACUUCGCUACCAUCGCCUCCCCGCUCUUGUGCGGACGCAGCCAGCAGUUAUUGUUUCACGCCCCCCGUCUCUAGUAUAAGAUGGCACUGGGACAUGUCCUAUUGUAGACGCAACUCGCCCUGGUGUAGUGUUCUGGGGUUUAGUGACCCAAGUACUUCGUUGAAGCUUAGGGUUGCCCAGCCUAGGUAGCGCUCGGCGACAUGAGUCGUCCAGAGGACCUAUGUUGGGUGACGGACCAGGUGCUCAUGCCCGUGGUGGACGGGCAGGAUUUCUCCGGAGAGGGGGACCUUUGAUGAGGAAUUUGUAGUUUGGGUGCUGAAAGUGUUGCAUUCUAAGCGUCCGAGUGGGGAAAAUGGUCACUUCAUGCGGGUAAUUGCCUGAAGUACCAGGAGUGCCGGUUGUUGAAGGACACUGAAGUGUGUACAUUCUGUGAACCGCGGGCUAGCGCGCGAGGAAGGCGGUUCUCACCAUUGGACGACCUAUGAUGUACUGAUGAAAGGGGCAAAUUCUUUAGGCAUGUGAUAUUGGUGGCGCUCAAUCAGAUGACCAUGCCUGUGAUGCUGGCGUUGCCAUCAGAUUGAGCCGCGCCAAUAUCACAUCCUUACUUCUCUAUCUCUUGAAUCUUAUUGCAUUCGUUGCUGUAAUGCGUGUAUUGUGUCCCUUAGAACCUAACUGUCUAUUGCUGCCUCUACGCCUUUAACAUCCGACGAUGCUGGAAUUUAUCAGGCUGUCUGUAUGAGGUUCUUGGUGCUCAAUAUCUCGAGCUCUAAGGAGCCGAUUCAGCCUUUAUGUGGACUUUCUGUACUCAUGCGGGAUCGUUGGGUACAAUAGUUGUUUACGCCUGGAUUGUUGAUACGCUGAAGUGCUUGUUGUGUUCGGUUUACCGUUUGCUUCUUUCAAUGGUUGCCGCUGCGCCCGUCCGCUCCCCCAGCAAUCUACUACCAAACUCACGCAAACACUAUCGUGAUAAGUUCUCAACCGAGUUAACUCAGGUCACGGCGAUGGUUCUCCUCGUAGGUCAUGAUCUCGUAUAUUCCAGCGUCAAACUCCCCGCUGGGUUGUGCCUCCCAUUUUUCGGCGAACCCGCUUGCUCGGCAGGCAGCCGCGACGAAUAGGAAGUUGAGUAGCCUCGCCACCGGUUUUGGUUAUAAUCGCAUUACCCUGUGGACUCCAAGAUUGUCGGGAUGAAAAAACCAAGUAACGGUGACGAACAUAUCGAUGAAAUUACCAGUAAAUACCUGGAGCUUCUCAGACGUGCAUUUUCAACCCCUAUUGACGGCUUUCAUAAAUGCGUGGGUCUCCUGUGUAGGCAUUUGUUGUGGCCCUAGUUUCCAUAUGAUCGCCUUAGGACCUUAGCAUGCAUGUAGCAUUCAUUCCUAAUUGCUUGACUUCUGGGUUAGCGCUGUAAAAUAUGUAUUACAUUGACCAGAGACCUGCUCAGAAAUGGACAUGUGGAUACGUUUUGUUAGACGAAGCUUGUGAAUGUAAAAACACAUCAUCACUAUUACUUUCUAUUA
Molecule: long non-coding RNA, 2432 nt
Organism: Physcomitrium patens
Lineage: Eukaryota; Viridiplantae; Streptophyta; Bryopsida; Funariales; Funariaceae
Source: RefSeq, a predicted model, not a curated record